RNAcentral lists this ribosomal RNA (237 nucleotides) under uncultured bacterium. Its description in RNAcentral is "partial 16S ribosomal RNA". It matches the Rfam family "Bacterial small subunit ribosomal RNA", at positions 118 to 347 of the family's 1533-position model. The record is from RNAcentral.
UGAGUAACCUGCCCUUAACUCUGGGAUAAGCCUGGGAAACUGGGUCUAAUACCGGAUAUGACUCCUCAUCGCAUGGUGGGGGGGGUUGGAAAGAUUUUAUCGGCUGGGGAUGGGCCCGCGGCCUAUCAGCUUGUUGGUGGGGUAGUGGCCUACCAAGGCGACGACGGGUAGCCGGCCUGAGAGGGUGACCGGCCACACUGGGACUGAGACACGGCCCAGACCUCCGUACGGGAGCAG